This 21-nucleotide microRNA is filed under the name Nematostella vectensis (starlet sea anemone). Its description in RNAcentral is "nve-miR-2048-5p". Lineage: Eukaryota; Metazoa; Cnidaria; Anthozoa; Actiniaria; Edwardsiidae. The record is from miRBase by way of RNAcentral.
GGCGUUUUGUUUUAGAUGUCU